This 158-nucleotide non-coding RNA is filed under the name Secundilactobacillus similis DSM 23365 = JCM 2765. Its description in RNAcentral is "Lactobacillus similis DSM 23365 = JCM 2765 Bacterial small subunit ribosomal RNA". It matches the Rfam family "Bacterial small subunit ribosomal RNA", at positions 1 to 137 of the family's 1533-position model. Lineage: Bacteria; Bacillati; Bacillota; Bacilli; Lactobacillales; Lactobacillaceae. The record is from Rfam by way of RNAcentral.
UAAAUUGAGAGUUUGAUCCUGGCUCAGGACGAACGCUGGCGGCGUGCCUAAUACAUGCAAGUCGAACGCAUCCCGUUGAAUUGAAGUGCUUGCACUGAUUUUUAACAUCGGAUGAGUGGCGAACUGGUGAGUAACACGUGGGUAACCUGCCCAGAAGC